RNAcentral lists this ribosomal RNA (1000 nucleotides) under Albosynnema elegans. Its description in RNAcentral is "LSU rRNA". It matches the Rfam family "Eukaryotic large subunit ribosomal RNA", at positions 53 to 1090 of the family's 3401-position model. Lineage: Eukaryota; Fungi; Ascomycota; Sordariomycetes; Hypocreales; Stachybotryaceae. The record is from RNAcentral.
GAGGAAAAGAAACCAACAGGGAUUGCCCCAGUAACGGCGAGUGAAGCGGCAACAGCUCAAAUUUGAAAUCUGGCCCCCCGGCCCGAGUUGUAAUUUGCAGAGGAUGCUUUGGGCGCGGUGCCUUCCGAGUUCCCUGGAACGGGACGCCACAGAGGGUGAGAGCCCCGUCUGGUCGGCCACCAAGCCUGUGUAAAGCUCCUUCGACGAGUCGAGUAGUUUGGGAAUGCUGCUCAAAAUGGGAGGUAUAUGUCUUCUAAAGCUAAAUACCGGCCAGAGACCGAUAGCGCACAAGUAGAGUGAUCGAAAGAUGAAAAGCACUUUGAAAAGAGAGUUAAACAGCACGUGAAAUUGUUGAAAGGGAAGCGUUCAUGACCAGACUUGGCCCGGCUGAUCAUCCAGCGUUCUCGCUGGUGCACUCUGCCGGUCCAGGCCAGCAUCAGUUCGCCACGGGGGAUAAAGGUUUCGGGAAUGUGGCUCCUCGGAGUGUUAUAGCCCGUUGCGUAAUACCCUGGGGCGGACUGAGGUCCGCGCUCUGCAAGGAUGCUGGCGUAAUGGUCAUCAACGACCCGUCUUGAAACACGGACCAAGGAGUCGUCUUCGUAUGCGAGUGUUCGGGUGUAAAACCCCUACGCGUAAUGAAAGUGAACGCAGGUGGGAGCUUCGGCGCACCAUCGACCGAUCCUGAUGUUCUCGGAUGGAUUUGAGUAAGAGCAUACGGGGCCGGACCCGAAAGAAGGUGAACUAUGCCUGUAUAGGGUGAAGCCAGAGGAAACUCUGGUGGAGGCUCGCAGCGGUUCUGACGUGCAAAUCGAUCGUCAAAUAUGGGCAUGGGGGCGAAAGACUAAUCGAACCUUCUAGUAGCUGGUUUCCGCCGAAGUUUCCCUCAGGAUAGCAGUGUUGAACUCAGUUUUAUGAGGUAAAGCGAAUGAUUAGGGACCCGGGGGCGCUAUUUUGCCUUCAUCCAUUCUCAAACUUUAAAUAUGUAAGAAGCCCUUGUUGC